This 434-nucleotide ribosomal RNA is filed under the name uncultured bacterium. RNAcentral's name for it is "partial 16S ribosomal RNA". It matches the Rfam family "Bacterial small subunit ribosomal RNA", at positions 29 to 507 of the family's 1533-position model. The record is from RNAcentral.
AGCGAACGCUGGCGGCAGGCCUAACACAUGCAAGUCGAACGAACCUUUCGGGGUUAGUGGCGGACGGGUGCGUCACACGUGGGAACGUGCCUUUAGGUUCGGAAUAACACAGGGAAACUUGUGCUAAUACCGAAUGUGCCCUUCGGGGGCAAGAUUUAUCGCCUUUAGAGCGGCCCGCGUCUGUUUAGCUAGUUGGUUGAGGUAAUGGCUCACCAAGGCGACGAUCAGUAGCUGGUAUGAGAGGAUGAUCAGCCACAUUGGGACUGAGACACGGCCCAAACUCCUACGGGAGGGAGCAGUGGAGAAUCUUGCGCAAUGGGCGAAAGCCUGACGCAGCCAUGCCGCGUGAAUGAUGAAGGUCGGAGGAUUGUAAAAUUCUUUAACCGGGGACGAUAAUGACGGUACCCGGAGAAGAAGCCCCGGCUAACUUCGUG